Non-coding RNA from Marasmius oreades (fairy-ring Marasmius), 92 nucleotides. Lineage: Eukaryota; Fungi; Basidiomycota; Agaricomycetes; Agaricales; Marasmiaceae. The record is from the annotation of a RefSeq genome assembly.
GGCCGACUAGCUCAGUUGGUUAGAGCGUCGUGCUAAUAUUUACAAUCAUGAAGUUAACGUGAAGGUCUUGGGUUCGAUCCCCACGUUGGCCA